This 237-nucleotide ribosomal RNA is filed under the name uncultured bacterium. Its description in RNAcentral is "partial 16S ribosomal RNA". It matches the Rfam family "Bacterial small subunit ribosomal RNA", at positions 796 to 1037 of the family's 1533-position model. The record is from RNAcentral.
CACGCCGUAAACGAUGGUCACUAGCUGUUCGGGGGCGACCCUGAGUGGCUAAGCGAAAGUGAUAAGUGACCCACCUGGGGAGUACGUUCGCAAGAAUGAAACUCAAAGGAAUUGACGGGGGCCCGCACAAGCGGUGGAGCAUGUGGUUCAAUUCGAUGAUACGCGAGGAACCUUACCAGGGCUUAAAUGCUAUUUUGACAGGGGUAGAGAUACCUUUUCCUUCGGGCAAUUUGCAAG